This 685-nucleotide ribosomal RNA is filed under the name uncultured marine archaeon. RNAcentral's name for it is "bacterial SSU rRNA". It matches the Rfam family "Archaeal small subunit ribosomal RNA", at positions 67 to 756 of the family's 1478-position model. The record is from RNAcentral.
CCUCGGGACUCGGCGUACCGCUCAGUAACACGUGGGUAACCUGCCCUAUGCUGGGGAAUAACCUCGGGAAACUGAGAACAAUGCCCCAUAGCCCACUACGCCUGGAACGGUGAGUGGGUCAAAGCUCCGGCGGCAUAGGAUGGGCCUGCGCCGUAUCAGGUUGUAGGGGGUGUAAAGUACCCUCUAGCCAUCAACGCGUACGGGUGUUGGGAGACAUUGCCCGGAGAUGGAUUCUGAGACACGAAUCCAGACCCUACGGGGUGCAGCAGGCGCGAAAACUUGGCAAUGCGAGAAAUCGUGACCAGGGAACUCCAAGUGCGUAGGGUAAGACCUACGCUUUUCUUGACUCUUCAAAGGUCUUGGAAUAAGGGGUGGGUAAGGACGGUGCCAGCCGCCGCGGUAAUACCGGCGCCUCAAGUGGUAGUCGCUUUUAUUGGGCCUAAAACGUCCGUAGCCGGUCUGGUGCAUUCGUGGGUAAAUCAACCCGCUCAACGGGUUGAAUUCUGCGAGCACGGCCAGACUUGGGACCGGGAGAGGUGUGGGGUACUCUCAGGGUAGGGGUAAAAUCCUGUCAUCCUGAGAGGACCACCUGUUGCGAAGGCGCCACACUAGAACGGAUCCGACGGUCAGGGACGAAACCUAGGGGCACGAACCGGAUUAGAUACCCGGGUAGUCCUAGGUGUAA